AGGGGAAGCAAGGCAUGUCGUACUUGGUGU
RNAcentral lists this non-coding RNA (30 nucleotides) under Homo sapiens (human). Lineage: Eukaryota; Metazoa; Chordata; Mammalia; Primates; Hominidae. The record is from RNAcentral.